This 420-nucleotide ribosomal RNA is filed under the name uncultured Nitrososphaerota archaeon. RNAcentral's name for it is "bacterial SSU rRNA". It matches the Rfam family "Archaeal small subunit ribosomal RNA", at positions 459 to 879 of the family's 1478-position model. Lineage: Archaea; Thermoproteati; Nitrososphaerota. The record is from RNAcentral.
CAGCCGCCGCGGUAAAACCAGCACCUCAAGUGGUCAGGAUGAUUAUUGGGCCUAAAGCAUCCGUAGCCUGCUUUGCCAGUUUUCGGUUAAAUCCAUACGCUCAACGUAUGGGCUGCCGGGAAUACUACAAAGCUAGGGAGUGGGAGAGGUAGACGGUACUCGGUAGGAAGGGGUAAAAUCCUUUGAUCUAUUGAUGACCACCUGUGGCGAAGGCGGUCUACCAGAACACGUCCGACGGUGAGGGAUGAAAGCUGGGGGAGCAAACCGGAUUAGAUACCCGGGUAGUCCCAGCUGUAAAUUAUGCAAACUCGGUGAUGCAUUGGCUUGAUGCCAAUGCAGUGCCGCAGGGAAGCCGUUAAGUUUGCCGCCUGGGAAGUACGUACGCAAGUAUGAAACUUAAAGGAAUUGGCGGGGGAGCAC